GUUAAAAGCUAGGGCUAGGACUUGGAGGAUGUGUAGGCAAACGGAAGGAGAGCCGGGGGAAGAAAAACCGAAAUGGAUUCAUUCUCUGUCCUGGAUGGAGGAGGAGAGGAGAAGAGAAGGGGACGUGCGAGCUUCCUUCAACUGCCUCUGUCCGGUGAAAAGUGCUCAGACCCCCGGGGCUGAGCCGGGCUCAGGAGUCCGCGCGGACUUUC
Molecule: non-coding RNA, 212 nt
Organism: Leptosomus discolor (cuckoo roller)
Lineage: Eukaryota; Metazoa; Chordata; Aves; Leptosomiformes; Leptosomidae
Source: Rfam